Molecule: RNA transcript, 2274 nt
Organism: Ananas comosus (pineapple)
Lineage: Eukaryota; Viridiplantae; Streptophyta; Magnoliopsida; Poales; Bromeliaceae
Gene name: BTB/POZ domain-containing protein At2g13690-like
Exons: 5
Source: RefSeq, a predicted model, not a curated record
UCGAUGGUUUCGGAGGAGAAAAUAACACAAAAAAACGAGCCGAAAGCGUAAGACGCCUCGAAAAGCUCGGCGCUCAACCUCCCCCCACCUCCCCCCAAAUGCGGAGGAGGAAGAAGAAGCCCUAACCCUAACCCUAACCCUAACCCUAACUUUAAUCCUAAUCCUAGCCCCGAUCUUCCCCUCUCAGCCACCAAUGGCGACCUCGGCGGCGGACCACGGCCGCCGGAAACCCGGCCACCACCUCCCCGCGAUCCGCCCCACCUGGUGCUGCUCCUUCGGCGUCGACCUACACAGCACCGAGCUCCGCCCCGCCGGAGCUCCCCACCGCCCGAAGCCCCCCUCCGCCGCCGCAGCAUCCUCCCAUGGUGGCUCCCCAUCCCCCGGCAGCAAGAUCGGCCUCGGCCUCAUCGCCUCCCGGCGAAUGCUCUCGCCCGGGAGGGUCUCCCCGAUCGACUCUGAACCCCCUGUCGUCGAGUUCGAUUCGGAGCCGCUAGAUCCGUCGGCGAAGGAGAGGAGGCUCUCGUCCGUGGCCGAGUCGAAGGAUGGGGCUUCGUCUAGGGAGAAGGUGACGGAUGUGAAGAUGAGGUUGAUGGGGAGGGACGGGGAUUGCUUGGUGUUGGAGCUGGAUGCGCAGGUGCUAUGCAAACACAGCUCCGUCUUCGCAAGGAUGGUGGCGGGAUCUCGGAAGAAGGUUUCUGAUGGUGAGGCGCACAGUCCGAUGAUAGAGGUUUCUGGUUUGCGGGAUUUUAGGGUAUUCAAGGAUACGAUCGAGUUGAUGUACGAGAAGGACGCUAUGAAAUGGUUAAUGAACGCAGGAGUCAGCCGAGCAAUUGAGAUACUUGAGGUAUCCUUCUCCAUUAUGUUUGACAGAGGAGCUACCACAUGUCUGAAGUAUCUCGGCGCUGUCCCGUGGAAUGAGAGUGAGGAGGAGAAGCUACAAAGUUUAUUUGCAAGGUGUACUUUCGAUGAAGCAGUGUCUCAGGAUAUACUAGCUAGGUUAUACCCACAAGAGCCCACACUCUCCGGUGAUCUCGCAUUAAAACUCAUACAGUCCAUUUCAAACGGGACUAAUAAUAAUGCCAGGAAGGAGCUGCAGUCUCUUGUCAACGGCAUCUUAUCCACAAGCUCUAUCUAUCAAAAGGACACCGCUGGAUUAAACAAAGAGAGUGUUUACAAUAUUUGCUAUUCUUGUUUAAAUUCUCUUGUUGAGCUAUUCAAAGAAGCCUCAGGUAAAAUUACCAUGGAUCAAAAAGCAGCAGUUAAAGAGGAGAAGCCAUUGGUCGAGAGAAUCGCUAGGCAAGUUGAAAACUUAAACUGGCAGCUAGGGUUGCUUAUAGACAAGCAGAUGGCAGAUGAUUUUGUGGGUUUGUGGGCCAACCAGAAGGAGCUUGUUAAGAUGCAUGAAAGAGCUUCUCCAUUGGUCCGGUAUGAGUUAAGCCGGAUCUCGGCUACUCUAUUCAUGGGUAUGGGAAGUGGGAAGCUGCAUUGUAAUGGAGAGAAAAGAUUGAGCAUGUUCGACGCGUGGUUUAGGCCUUUGUUGAAAGAUUUCAGUUGGUUGAGAAGGUGCCCAAAAGGGUUGGAUAUGAGGGUGUUGGAGGAAACCCUAGGUCAGGCUCUCCUCACGCUCACAUUAAAGGAACAGCACAGCUUGUUCAUGGUGUGGUUCGAGGUAUUUAGUGGGCAAGGGAAAGAGUGCCCUAACCUGAGCAACGCAUUCCAGGUUUGGUGGCGGAGAUCGUUUUCGAGAGCAGCAGAUCAUAGCUAGAUUUCGGCCAUCAUUUAUCUGGACAUUUGCUGUUCAAUGUGAGUGGUUGGAUUAUGUUGGUUGCGCUGCUCCUUGUAUAGGUACUAAUGGGCUCCGAUCAGAUCAUCUCGACCCUGCAUGUCACAGGUUUCUACAAUGGUGGAGUUUUUACUUUUUAAUGAGUGGAUUAUAAAAGCUUCUAGAAGGCAUAAUGUGACCUCUUUGUGGACAAAAAGAGUUUGUUAUGGAAUCGGUUCAGACGUCAUCUCGGUGAUACCGGUGGCUACCAACCUCUCCUAUGAUUGGCUCUCCUCAUAUCACACGGAUAUGCAAGUAAAAGCUUUCUGAAUUUUGUUGAUGCAGGUGCCAAAUAACUCCCCCAGUUACUAACACAAACUAGCCUAAAAGCAACGCCAAUUUUAAUUAUAUGAUCCGCAAUUAUCACUAUUGACUACUUACAUGGUGAGCAAUAACUCUUCUUCAUCACUGAAUAGAGCAGUUGAUUAUUUUCAUUUAGAAAAACUAAUUUA